ACUUCCCCCAGCUUGGCAGAGCCCUGCAAGAAUAAAUCUCUGGAGAAAUAGAUUUUGAAGAGGAAUUUGGUACAUAGAUCUUCUGUCAGCGGAGCAGACUCCGGCUCAGCUGUUUUUCAAGUUCGCUGCUUAUCCAGAGAUACAUCUAUUUUUACAUGGAUCUCUGGCGAGAUUUCCUCUUCUGGCAGGCAAUUAGGCCCCAGACAAUGGCCCGCAAAUGUCAGAAGUGGCG
This 232-nucleotide long non-coding RNA is filed under the name Homo sapiens (human). Its description in RNAcentral is "HSALNT0181675". The record is from RNAcentral. Lineage: Eukaryota; Metazoa; Chordata; Mammalia; Primates; Hominidae.